RNAcentral lists this long non-coding RNA (364 nucleotides) under Cyanistes caeruleus (blue tit). RNAcentral describes it as "lncRNA (ENSCCEG00000017378.1)". Lineage: Eukaryota; Metazoa; Chordata; Aves; Passeriformes; Paridae. The record is from RNAcentral.
GUCUUAACUCAGGGGCAAACAUCUGCCUGGAGAAUUGCAGUGAACACAGAGCCUCUGAUUUAACAACCCCAAAGUGACCAACUCUCAGAUAUGACUCUGGAUUGAACAGAUAAGGAGGUGCCAGUAACAUGACAUAUAAUACCAAAAACAACAAUCAGAUAUGCAGAUAUGCUGACCUCAGAAGACCAGUCAGAAACCCCUUGCCAUGAAGCUGUUCAAUUCUUUUUGGGAGCAUUUGGCCUUCUAGACAUCCUGAGGUGUCUCUGAAAAGAAAUUUUAUUCUGCUAUGUCUACAUCAUACUAGGCUCUGAUUAGAAAAGAAUGAAACAGAUUCAUAGCUGGAAUAAAUGAAAACACUUUUCCA